This 325-nucleotide ribosomal RNA is filed under the name Paenibacillus sp. FSL R5-0765. RNAcentral describes it as "bacterial LSU rRNA". It matches the Rfam family "Bacterial large subunit ribosomal RNA", at positions 1115 to 1320 of the family's 2925-position model. Lineage: Bacteria; Bacillati; Bacillota; Bacilli; Caryophanales; Paenibacillaceae. The record is from RNAcentral.
GCCACCAUUGAAAGAGUGCGUAAUAGCUCACUGGUCGAGUGACUCUGCGCCGAAAAUGUAACGGGGCUAAACACACCACCGAAGCUAUGGCUUGGAUCGACUUCACUGCUUCUUUGAGGCGGUGUUUACCACAAGGACAUUUUUGUCUGACAAGAGAUUCUAUCUUGGAUGACCAAAUGCUUCCCAGGGGAUAAACACAGGACUUCGAAGCUGGAGUGAAGUCGAUCCAGGGGUAGGGGAGCGUUGUAUAAGGGUUGAAGGUGUACCGUAAGGAGCGCUGGACAUUAUACAAGUGAGAAUGCCGGUAUGAGUAACGAAAAGAUCA